Molecule: ribosomal RNA, 301 nt
Filed under: uncultured bacterium
Lineage: Bacteria
Description: partial 16S ribosomal RNA
Rfam family: Bacterial small subunit ribosomal RNA
Source: RNAcentral
CAGCCGCCGCGGGAAUACGUAGGUCCCGAGCGUUGUCCGGAUUUAUUGGGCGUAAAGCGAGCGCAGGCGGUUUGAUAAGUCUGAAGUUAAAGGCUGUGGCUUAACCAUAGUUCGCUUUGGAAACUGUCAAACUUGAGUGCAGAAGGGGAGAGUGGAAUUCCAUGUGUAGCGGUGAAAUGCGUAGAUAUAUGGAGGAACACCGGUGGCGAAAGCGGCUCUCUGGUCUGUAACUGACGCUGAGGCUCGAAAGCGUGGGGAGCGAACAGGAUUAGAUACCCCGGUAGUCCCUGUCUCUUAUACA